AACAUGUCCAGCAUUUAUUUAUACAUCUUUCUGUUCUGCCCUCUUUAUCAGGAAGACAUCAUGCAAAACCCAAACUCCCUUGAGUAUUUAUAUCCUCAGGCACACAGUCAGUCAUGAAGACACAUAUGCUCACACACUGCUGUUAGACAUGAACUUUAUUAUUCUAACAACCUUGCUGGCUCUCUACUCAACGGGUGGACAUGGUCAGACCCUGACUGAAUCUGAGCCUGUGGUCAUUAAUCCUGGAGGAUCUCACAAACUGACCUGCACAGCCUCUGGGUUCACAUUUAGUAGCUAUUAUAUGGCUUGGAUCAGACAGACUCCUGGGAAAGGGCUGGAAUGGAUCGCUAGAAUGCACAGCUCCACUAUUCACCAGUCUCAGGCUUUUAAAGGACGGUUCACAAUCUCUAAUGAUAACCACAAGAGCCAGCUGUAUCUGCAGAUGUACAGCCUGAAGACUGAGGACACUGCUGUGUACUACUGUGCCCGAGACCCACAGUGA
Clupea harengus (Atlantic herring) is the source of this 502-nucleotide non-coding RNA. NCBI's taxonomy places the organism in Eukaryota, Metazoa, Chordata, Actinopteri, Clupeiformes, Clupeidae. The record is from the annotation of a RefSeq genome assembly.